RNAcentral lists this long non-coding RNA (382 nucleotides) under Durio zibethinus. RNAcentral's name for it is "long non-coding RNA (DZIB_LNC000720)". The record is from RNAcentral. Lineage: Eukaryota; Viridiplantae; Streptophyta; Magnoliopsida; Malvales; Malvaceae.
ACCAGCUUUAUCAGGCUUAACCACUAUCCACCUUGCCCUGCUCCUGACCUAGCUCUAGGCGUUGGCCGACACAAGGAUGCUGGUGCCCUGACCAUUCUUUCUCAAGAUGAUGUAGGAGGAUUGGAAGUGAAGCGAAAAUCAGAUGGAGAGUGGAUCCGCGUCAGGCCUACCCCAGAUGCUUUUAUCAUUAAUGUUGGUGACAUUAUUCAGGUAUAGUUUUGAAACUCAAAUUAACAUGGCUAUCGACCUAGCACGGAUAUAGGACUCUAACCUGUUGGUUCCAUAUCUUUCCCUUGGAGGCCUAAUCUGAUGACUGUAAAUGGUUCUUUUAGAACUUGUGACCAAAUAUGUAUUCAGUAGUAAUAUGGAAAUCAGUUGUGGC